GUCGCUGCAAAUUCAGCGACCGGGUUUGGCGACCCGAGCAACUUGGCGCAUAGGCGCCCCAUACGACAGCAGGCGCUUUUUUU
Molecule: small RNA, 83 nt
Filed under: Pseudomonas fulva
Lineage: Bacteria; Pseudomonadati; Pseudomonadota; Gammaproteobacteria; Pseudomonadales; Pseudomonadaceae
Source: RNAcentral